Long non-coding RNA from Anguilla anguilla (European eel), 811 nucleotides. RefSeq lists it as uncharacterized. The transcript has 3 exons. The record is from RefSeq and is a predicted model, not a curated record. NCBI's taxonomy places the organism in Eukaryota, Metazoa, Chordata, Actinopteri, Anguilliformes, Anguillidae.
UACGUCAGAACUUAUUCGAAAAAACUGUUUCCAUUUCUCAUUUUGCGCAUUAACUCUUUUUUGAAAAACCAGCUCAACUGAGCGUAAAAACGUUUUGCGCAUUUUGCUGUUUCCAUAAAUAGCAAAAUGCGCAAAAUGGCAAAAUGCGCAUCAAAAUACGUUUGUGGAAACACGGCUAUAGAAUGAGCCCUGAGGGCAGAAGAAAAAGCACAAAACUGAAGGACUGACACUAAUCAUGCUAGCACAUACAUACAUAAGAGGUGCUGGUGCUCAGAUGAUCAUAUCCACCUUCCAGGCUUUAGCAUUUGCUAAUGUGGCUAUCGUGUCCUCCAUGUCCAGGAUUCUUCAGACUUUCUGCUCUUUUGAUAUAAUGGCGUGAUCUGGCAGGCGGUGAUCUGAUACAUUGUAGACCGCAGGACCACAGCCAAUUAAAAUGAUAGAAAGAAGGAAGGCAGAGAUGAAAGAAGGAAGGAAGUAAGAGAGUGAGAUGUGUGGCAGGGGGAUGGAGGAAGAAAAUAAAGUUUGAGAAAGGAGUAAAGGAGAAGGAAAGAAUGGAUAGAAGCAAGGAAAGGGGAAAGGGAUCGUGACAAGCUAUGUGUGACUCACACGCAACCUCUGAAUCUCAUGGACCACGAAGCAGGGAGACUGGCUUUCAUUUGUUUAAAACAUUUGAAAAAGACACACCUUCACUGUAAUGUUGAAACAUUAAUUCACAGCUGUGGGGGCAAAAAAGAACAAAUGCAAAUCAUAAUUUUUUUUUAACAUUCAGUUUUGUAAAAAAGUCAUUUUGUAUUUCAAGGUAUUAUGUGAC